RNAcentral lists this ribosomal RNA (243 nucleotides) under uncultured bacterium. RNAcentral describes it as "partial 16S ribosomal RNA". It matches the Rfam family "Bacterial small subunit ribosomal RNA", at positions 28 to 271 of the family's 1533-position model. The record is from RNAcentral.
GACGAACGCUGGCGGCGUGCCUAACACAUGCAAGUCGAGCGGUAAGGCCCUUUCGGGGGUACACGAGCGGCGAACGGGUGAGUAACACGUGGGUGACCUGCCCUCAGCUCUGGGAUAAGCCUGGGAAACCGGGUCUAAUACCGGAUAUGACCUCACUGACGCAUGUUGUGGGGUGGAAAGCCUUGUGCGGCUGAGGAUGGGCCCGCGGCCUAUCAGCUUGUUGGUGGGGUGAUGGCCUACCAA